AGGGUUCAAUUCUGGCUCAGGAUGAACGCUAGCUACAGGCUUAACACAUGCAAGUCGAGGGGCAGCAUGAACUUAGCUUGCUAAGUUGAUGGCGACCGGCGCACGGGUGAGUAACGCGUAUCCAACCUGGCCCUUAGUAGGGGAUAGCCCGGCGAAAGUCGGAUUAAUACCCUAUGUUUUCCUUUGAUGGCAUCCGAUGAGGAACAAAGAUUCAUCGCUAAGGGAUGGGGAUGCGUCCGAUUAGGUUGACGGCGGGGUGACGGCCCACCGUGCCCGCGAUCGGUAGGGGUUCUGAGAGGAAGGUCCCCCACAUUGGAACUGAGACACGGUCCAAACUCCUACGGGAGGCAGCAGUGAGGAAUAUUGGUCAAUGGAGGCAACUCUGAACCAGCCAAGUAGCCGUGAGGGAUGACGGCCCUACGGGUUGUAAACCUCUUUUGCAGGGGAAUAAAGUGCGCCACGUGUGGUGUUUUGUAUGUACCCUGAGAAUAAGGACCGGCUAAUUCCGUGCCAGCCGCUGC
RNAcentral lists this ribosomal RNA (521 nucleotides) under uncultured bacterium. Its description in RNAcentral is "bacterial SSU rRNA". It matches the Rfam family "Bacterial small subunit ribosomal RNA", at positions 8 to 518 of the family's 1533-position model. The record is from RNAcentral.